AUUGAACGCUGGCGGAAUGCUUUACACAUGCAAGUCGAACGGCAGCACGGACUUCGGUCUGGUGGCGAGUGGCGAACGGGUGAGUAAUACAUCGGAACGUGCCCAGUCGUGGGGGAUAACGUAGCGAAAGCUACGCUAAUACCGCAUACGAUCUACGGAUGAAAGCGGGGGAUCGCAAGACCUCGCGCGAUUGGAGCGGCCGAUGGCAGAUUAGGUAGUUGGUGGGGUAAAGGCUCACCAAGCCGACGAUCUGUAGCUGGUCUGAGAGGACGACCAGCCACACUGGGACUGAGACACGGCCCAGACUCCCGCGGGAGGCAGCAGUGGGGAAUUUUGGACAAUAGGCGCAAGCCUGAUCCAGCCAUUCCGCGUGCAGGAUGAAGGCCCUCGGGUUGUAAACUGCUUUUGUACGGAACGAAAAGGCCCUGGUUAAUACCUGGGGCUCAUGACGGUACCGUAAGAAUAAGCACCGGCUAACUACGUGCCAGCCGCCGCCGUAA
Molecule: ribosomal RNA, 500 nt
Filed under: uncultured bacterium
Lineage: Bacteria
Description: partial 16S ribosomal RNA
Rfam family: Bacterial small subunit ribosomal RNA
Source: RNAcentral